RNAcentral lists this ribosomal RNA (274 nucleotides) under uncultured bacterium. RNAcentral describes it as "partial 16S ribosomal RNA". It matches the Rfam family "Bacterial small subunit ribosomal RNA", at positions 523 to 796 of the family's 1533-position model. The record is from RNAcentral.
AUACGGAGGGUGCAAGCGUUAUUCGGAAUCACUGGGCGUAAAGGGUGCGUAGGCGGUUUGGUAAGUCUGAUGUGAAAUCCUAUGGCUCAACCAUAGAACUGCAUUGGAAACUGCUAAACUAGAAUACUGAAGGGGCAGAUGGAAUUAGUGGUGUAGGGGUAAAAUCCGUAGAUAUCACUAGGAAUACCGAAAGCGAAAGCGAUCUGCUGGGAAGUUAUUGACGCUCAGGCACGAAAGCGUGGGGAGCAAACGGGAUUAGAUACCCCAGUAGUCC